RNAcentral lists this ribosomal RNA (634 nucleotides) under Caulobacter vibrioides. RNAcentral's name for it is "bacterial SSU rRNA". It matches the Rfam family "Bacterial small subunit ribosomal RNA", at positions 104 to 772 of the family's 1533-position model. The record is from RNAcentral. Lineage: Bacteria; Pseudomonadati; Pseudomonadota; Alphaproteobacteria; Caulobacterales; Caulobacteraceae.
GGGUGAGUAACACGUGGGAACGUGCCCUUUGGUUCGGAACAACUCAGGGAAACUUGAGCUAAUACCGGAUGUGCCCUUCGGGGGAAAGAUUUAUCGCCAUUGGAGCGGCCCGCGUCUGAUUAGCUAGUUGGUGAGGUAAAGGCUCACCAAGGCGACGAUCAGUAGCUGGUCUGAGAGGAUGAUCAGCCACAUUGGGACUGAGACACGGCCCAAACUCCUACGGGAGGCAGCAGUGGGGAAUCUUGCGCAAUGGGCGAAAGCCUGACGCAGCCAUGCCGCGUGAAUGAUGAAGGUCUUAGGAUUGUAAAAUUCUUUCACCGGGGACGAUAAUGACGGUACCCGGAGAAGAAGCCCCGGCUAACUUCGUGCCAGCAGCCGCGGUAAUACGAAGGGGGCUAGCGUUGCUCGGAAUUACUGGGCGUAAAGGGAGCGUAGGCGGACUGUUAAGUUAGAGGUGAAAGCCCAGGGCUCAACCUUGGAAUUGCCUUUGAUACUGGCAGUCUUGAGUACGGAAGAGGUAUGUGGAACUCCGAGUGUAGAGGUGAAAUUCGUAGAUAUUCGGAAGAACACCAGUGGCGAAGGCGACAUACUGGUCCGUUACUGACGCUGAGGCUCGAAAGCGUGGGGGAGCAAA